UACGUAGGGGGCAAGCGUUGUCCGGAAUCAUUGGGCGUAAAGAGCGUGUAGGCGGCUUGGUAAGUCCGCUGUGAAAGUCCAGGGCUCAACCCUGGAAAGCCGGUGGAAACUGUCAAGCUUGAGUCCGGAAGAGGCGAGUGGAAUUCCUGGUGUAGCGGUGAAAUGCGCAGAUAUCAGGAGGAACACCAAUGGCGAAGGCGGCACUCUGGGACGGUACUGACGCUGAGACGCGAAAGCGUGGGGAGCGAACAGG
This 253-nucleotide ribosomal RNA is filed under the name uncultured bacterium. Its description in RNAcentral is "partial 16S ribosomal RNA". It matches the Rfam family "Bacterial small subunit ribosomal RNA", at positions 524 to 776 of the family's 1533-position model. The record is from RNAcentral.